UACGUAGGUGGCAAGCGUUGUCCGGAAUUAUUGGGCGUAAAGCGCGCGCAGGCGGUCCUUUAAGUCUGAUGUGAAAGCCCACGGCUCAACCGUGGAGGGUCAUUGGAAACUGGGGGACUUGAGUACAGAAGAGAAGAGUGGAAUUCCACGUGUAGCGGUGAAAUGCGUAGAGAUGUGGAGGAACACCAGUGGCGAAGGCGGCCAUCUGGGACAACACUGACGCUGAAGCACGAAAGCGUGGGGAGCAAACAG
This 252-nucleotide ribosomal RNA is filed under the name uncultured bacterium. Its description in RNAcentral is "partial 16S ribosomal RNA". It matches the Rfam family "Bacterial small subunit ribosomal RNA", at positions 524 to 775 of the family's 1533-position model. The record is from RNAcentral.